Non-coding RNA from Phalacrocorax carbo (great cormorant), 820 nucleotides. The record is from RefSeq and is a predicted model, not a curated record. Lineage: Eukaryota; Metazoa; Chordata; Aves; Suliformes; Phalacrocoracidae.
CCCUUUAAAAACUGGUUGUUUUUGAAGACAAACAGGCAAGGGGUUAGCGCACAAAUAUUCUCCACCCGUCAAGGACCGUUGCCGUGGAUUAAAGAGAAAAGAAAAAUCACUUCCUUUUGUUUUGCCAGGGCAUUCAAAUGCUUUAAGAUUUAGUGUAACACAGGAUCUGUUUAAGUGGCUGCAGGAAAGUGAAGAAGCACACAGACUGCAUUUUAAAUACAAAUUGCUUCAAGCUCAUCUGCCUAAAAAGAGAUAAUCACGGUAGCGUCUGAGCGCCUCACAGCCUUUAAUGCAUUUAUCUUUCUGCUUCUCUCUGCGAGAGGGAAGUGCUUUUGUCGCCUCUGCGCUCACUGGGAAGGGAGGCACAGGCAGACGCACUGACAAUCAUCACCGAGGAGCCCAACGAUGGCUGGGAUCGAUGGCAGUUAGUGCUAAAUGCAGGUGAGGAGCCGCGACCAGGUGCCUGUGCUCAAAUAAACAAGGGGAGGGACGCACCAAAUUGCCAUUGAACCCAACAGCAGCCGGAGGCUUGGACGGUCUCAGAGCCGACGCGUUGGCUUUGCAGAGAUCCUCACGGAGCCUCCCCGGCCGCGGGCCCUGGCAUCGCCCGGGCUUGCACUCCCGGCCCUGACAGCGCGCGCGUCGCCGCGCUGCGAGCUCGCACCAGGCACCGGACUCCCGCGGGCAGCACGUCCCAGGCACGCCUGGACCCUGCCUGCGCCACCAGCACGUGCGCGGCCGGCAGGGCCCGGACACCCGCCCGGGAGCGGGAGACAGGCAGUUGGAUUCACAGAAUCCCAGAGUCACAGAAUCCCAGGUG